RNAcentral lists this transfer RNA (71 nucleotides) under Nodularia douglasiae. RNAcentral's name for it is "tRNA-Gln". The record is from RNAcentral. Lineage: Eukaryota; Metazoa; Mollusca; Bivalvia; Unionida; Unionidae.
GAAGGUUAGUGAACUUAUUAAUACACGUAUAAAUUUGGAUUAUAAAGAGGAAGUAUACUGCUCCACCUUCA